GGAAUAUUGCACAAUGGGCGAAAGCCUGAUGCAGCGACGCCGCGUGAGGGAUGACGGCCUUCGGGUUGUAAACCUCUUUCAGUAGGGAACAAGGCCAGUGUUUAGCUGGUUGAGGGUACUUGCAGAAGAAGCGCCGGCUAACUACGUGCCAGCAGCCGCGGUAAUACGUAGGGCGCAAGCGUUAUCCGGAAUUAUUGGGCGUAAAGAGCUCGUAGGCGGUUUGUCGCGUCUGCCGUGAAAGUCCGGGGCUCAACUCCGGAUCUGCGGUGGGUACGGGCAGACUAGAGUGAUGUAGGGGAGACUGGAAUUCCUGGUGUAGCGGUGAAAUGCGCAGAUAUCAGGAGGAACACCGAUGGCGAAGGCAGGUCUCUGGGCAUUAACUGACGCUGAGGAGCGAAAGCAUGGGGAGCGAACAGGAUUAGAUACCCCAG
Molecule: ribosomal RNA, 431 nt
Filed under: uncultured Arthrobacter sp.
Lineage: Bacteria; Bacillati; Actinomycetota; Actinomycetes; Micrococcales; Micrococcaceae
Description: bacterial SSU rRNA
Rfam family: Bacterial small subunit ribosomal RNA
Source: RNAcentral